Molecule: long non-coding RNA, 386 nt
Filed under: Helianthus annuus (common sunflower)
Lineage: Eukaryota; Viridiplantae; Streptophyta; Magnoliopsida; Asterales; Asteraceae
Description: hypothetical non coding rna
Source: RNAcentral
UUAUAUUUGUAAAUAAAGCUAAAAAAAUAGUUGGGGGCACAUUUGUGUAACCCAGACUAUUCGUUUCUAAAUAUAUGUUUUGAUCGAACAUUUUGGAAGAGAAUGAUGAUUUACAGGAAAUGGAGUUUGCUGACGAGUCCUGCUAUUGUCAUGGGAGGCGUUACAGCCACCCUUCUUGCCAUUGAUUUUGUUUUCAAACAGGUACCAAAGUCAAGGAGCUAAAAUUGAAAUAUCGUAAAAGUAUGGGGAGAGCCAAAGCCGGUGGGAUAUAGUAAGGACAAAAAAUAUUAAUUCUCAAUGUUGAGAUGGCCUUGUAUUUUAUUGAAAAGUGGGAGGAGUGACCUUGUAUUUUAAUGAGAAGAGGUAGUUCGUCUAAGUUCAAGCAC